Sebastes umbrosus (honeycomb rockfish) is the source of this 1108-nucleotide long non-coding RNA. RefSeq lists it as uncharacterized. The record is from RefSeq and is a predicted model, not a curated record. The transcript is spliced from 2 exons. NCBI's taxonomy places the organism in Eukaryota, Metazoa, Chordata, Actinopteri, Perciformes, Sebastidae.
AUGUUGGUAUCCUGUCUGUUUCUCCAAACUGGGGACGUGCCGACCGCCGUCUACUGUAGGUAAUACACUGACUAUGGAUAAGUACCUGAUACAACCCCACUUCAAAACCAAAACUAUCCCUUUAAUACGGCCGAAAAAGGUAUAGUAACUAUAUAAAAUAUCUAUUAUAUUCAAAAUAUUCAAUAAUUCAAAGAUUAUUUUAAUUACUAACCACAUUUGUCUUGCUUUACUCUUAUCUUACUCCACCACCUGAGCUGCUGUUAUUAUUCACUGUGGACGCAAAAAAAGUAAGUAUGAGCUUCUGUUUUGUUGAGAAAGGGACUUGGAAUAGUCUAUAAUGUAAAGAAAUAGUAAGAAUUGUGUGUUAAAUCUGCUUAUUCAUACUUAUUCAAUAAUUCAAACAUUGUUUUACUAACCAUUCUUUAUAUCCUACUUCACCACCUGAGCUGCUUUUGUUCACUGAGGAUGAAGAAGGUGAUCUUAAAUAGUCUAUAAUGUAAAAAAAGAUAAAGUAAUAUUAUGUAACCCACCUACAAACUAUAUGCUAUACAUCUAUUUGUUCAUAUAAUAUCACUUAAUAAGUAAUUCAAACAUAAUUUGUCUCUCUUACUAACCAUUAUUUAUUGUUCCCUCUCUUACUCCAUCACCUGAGCUGCUGCUGUUCACCGAGGACGAAGAAGGAUCUGUCCUUGCAUCUGCCUGCCUCAGCUGCUUGCUUCCAUAACCCCGAGCUAUUGCACCAGGCCAGCCACGCUCUGACCCUCAUCAGCCUGUCCUGCUCUUGUCUCUUCUCUGGAUGUGGUGAUGUCAGUGGAGAACUUUAGCUGCUUGUCAAGUUCGGCUCUCAUUCACCAGUCAUUUCCUGGAACCUGUCUGAAGACUGAUGUUCUGCUCAGGCGCUUCUGCACCGAUUGUCCAGCCGUUACAAACUGAACCAGCUGCAUAUGUGGUUGGAUUUACCAACAGAGUUUAUCAUUUCUGUCUGAUGUUACUGAUCACAGAAGGUUUAAACUUUAUAUAUCAGUAAAUCAGCUCAUUGUCAGUUGCUUGUUCUCUUCUGUGAAAGAAGCAAUAAAUCAGGAAAUGCCAAAGGCAAUGUUGAAACUAA